CCUACGGGAGGCAGCAGUAGGGAAUCUUCCGCAAUGGACGAAAGUCUGACGGAGCAACGCCGCGUGAGUGAUGAAGGCUUUCGGGUCGUAAAACUCUGUUUGUUAGGGAAGAACAAGUACAGAGAGUAACUGCUUGUACCUUGACGGUACCUAACCAGAAAGCCACGGCUAACUACGUGCCAGCAGCCGCGGUAAUACGUAGGUGGCAAGCGUUAUCCGGAAUUAUUGGGCGUAAAGCGCGCGCAGGCGGUUUCUUAAGUCUGAUGUGAAAGCCCACGGCUCAACCCGUGGAGGGUCAUUGGAAACUGGGGAACUUGAGUGCAGAAGAGAAAAGCGGAAUUCCACGUGUAGCGGUGAAAUGCGUAGAGAUGUGGAGGAACACCAGUGGCGAAGGCGGCUUUUUUGGUCUGUAACUGACGCUGAGGCGCGAAAGCGUGGGGAGCAAACAGGAUUAGAUACCCUGGUAGUCCACGCCGUAAACGAUGAGUGCUAAGUGUUAGAGGGUUUCCGCCCUUUAGUGCUGCAGCUAACGCAUUAAGCACUCCGCCUGGGGAGUACGGUCGCAAGACUGAAACUCAAAGGAAUUGACGGGGGCCCGCACAAGCGGGUGGAGCAUGUGGUUUAAUUCGAAGCAACGCGAAGAACCUUAC
This 650-nucleotide ribosomal RNA is filed under the name bacterium HN8-C-03. Its description in RNAcentral is "bacterial SSU rRNA". It matches the Rfam family "Bacterial small subunit ribosomal RNA", at positions 338 to 974 of the family's 1533-position model. The record is from RNAcentral.